CCGCAAGGGGCGCUGCGCCUGCCCCCCAGAGCACAGCUUUCUGAGGUUCCAUCAGGGACUGAUGUGUGAUUCUUGUUCAGCUUGGCUCUCUCUCCUCUCAUCCUGUCCCGGAGUAAAGAACUUCCGCAGACUACUGCUCCCAGUUCUUUCUCUGAUGUGCUCUCCCAUGAGUUUUAUUCAUCUCAGCCUCCCUGUACUGCUGAAAACCAAGCAGAGCAGACAUCUGAGCAACCUCUUUGAACAUAAUAAAUUCACUUCCAAGACUAUCAAGAGAGGGCCUGAGGGAAAACAAAUUCUGCUGAAUUGCUGAAUCCUUAAGUCUGGAUUGUUACUUCAAAAAAUUUCCUAUUGAUAGAUAAGCAUUGCAGUGAAUACGGGGAGGGGGUGUUAAGGAUAUCCAGAAAUGGAUUAAAUGUGCAUGUGAGAGAGAA
Suricata suricatta (meerkat) is the source of this 431-nucleotide long non-coding RNA. RefSeq lists it as uncharacterized. The record is from RefSeq and is a predicted model, not a curated record. The transcript is spliced from 2 exons. Lineage: Eukaryota; Metazoa; Chordata; Mammalia; Carnivora; Herpestidae.